UAAAAUCUAUAUUUGUAUUUUAUGUCACUGCUGCCUUUAAACUAGCUGAGUUUACCGAAGUAGCUAGCUAACUAUCAGUUUAACAUGUAGCAUGUACUGUUUAACCAUGAAAUUUAAAUGUAAAAUACGGUAAAAUAAUUAAUAGGGCAUAUUUAAAUGGGUAAUAGGGUAAAACCCAGUGCAUUUAAGAUAAAAAUGGGUUGAAAUAUGACGGGGCGCGCCGCUUGGGGGGACACUUCUGUGCUCUAUUCUUUCAUCCGGUAAUCCCCAGCGGUCAGGCCGGGCAGGCUGAUCGAUGCGGCGCCUCGCUGCUGCGGGCUGACCGCUCGUGGAACUCGGAGACAGAUCUGACCGGAGAAAUACUGCAGCUCGUUGAGAAGUCUAUAGGGCAUACAGCGUUUCCCUUAAAUCCCACUGCCACGCCGACAAGAUCCCAAGUUUCUUUGUUUUUGUUGGCGCUGUUUACCGAAGAAGCAGCGGGAAUACCAGCAACUUUAAUCAGACUCUUAAAGUUAGUUUUUGCAGGGGACCCCCUGUAUUUUACUGCUCCCUCCUGCAGUCUUCCCCUAUUAAAAUUUAAAAUGUGUAACUUCAUGUAUUGUGAUGAAUGACUAAUAUUCAUGUUAACUAAAACGUUAGGUAUUUAGGGGGAAAAAACAAAAUAAUAAACAUUAUACAGAUGUCAAAUAAAUCAAACUGUAAUUAAACUAUAUAUUUUCAAAGUCUUGAUUCUGGAUAAAAUCCAACAACAUAUGCUUUAUAAAUAAACACUACGCAUGGAUUUUACACACACACACACACACGUUACAUUGUGAUUUCUUAGUAAAUAUUCUAUUUGGCGAGAGAUAAACUUUAUUGUAUUUAUCCUAGUGAAUCUAUAAUUAAACGGGUAAACUAGCAGUAGUACAUCCAACAUCAAAGAAAGUAAAAUGUUAUUAUCAGGAGAGGGAGAAUGAUUAAGUGUUUAGCAGCAGUGUGCUAGACGAUGGCCCCCUCCAUGAGGCCACCACAGCUCAGCAGAACAUCAUUGUAGCUUCUUCUGGGGAGAAAAACACUUACAGAAAAAAUAAAGUUAACAGCUGAAAUAGCAGGAAAUAAUACAGUUAAAGAGCAGAUUGUAGAAGAAAGAAACCCCUGGGUUAAACUGGUCUGUCUACUGCAUAAUGCUGAACUCUAACAUGUGUCCUCAGGGAAGGACCUGAUUGGUGUCCAGAACCUGCUGAAGAAGCACGAGGCUCUGCAGGCUGAGAUCACAGGUCAUGAACCUCGCAUCAAGGCUGUCACCCAGAAAGGAGAGACCAUAAUGGAGGAAGGUCACUUCGCUGGUUCAGAACCCUCGGCCCGUCAGAACAUUCUUAUCCACCACGUUCUAACACCAGACCUGUUAACCCGACAGCAACAAGUGGCUCCAACUGACGAUGAGACCGGGAAGGAGCUGGUUCUGGCUCUGUACGACUACCAGGAGAAGAGUCCUGGAGAGGUCACCAUGAAGAAGGGCGACAUCCUCACGCUGCUCAACAGCACCAACAAGGUUGUUUUACUUGAACUCGCGUCUUUAGCUGAAUGAGGAUGGAGAGACGGGUCGGACCUGGAGCAGGUCGAGGUCUUGCAGAAGAAGUUUGACGACUUCCAGAAGGACCUGAAGGCCAACGAGUCCCGCCUGAGGGACAUCAACAAGGUGGCAUCUGAACUGGAGUCAGAAGGUCUGAUGGCUGAGGAGGCUCCUAUGGUUCAGGCUCAGCAACAAGAACAUCUGGGUUCUGCUCCUGGAAAGGAUGAAGCCGACUCUAACCCCGGCUUUCCACAGGAGCCGUCAGCAGCACGUUACUGCAGCAGCACGUCAUAGCUGCUGAUAGGAACCGCUGUGGUCAACAGAACCUUUUCCACCGGAGCCGUCAGCAGCGCGAGUCGGCCGCGUCUCAGGAGCAGCAUGUCGCGGCCUUUACGCGCCGGUUCUAUUUUCUACGCGCGACGCCUCUGAAACGGGUCAAGUUCGACAUUUUUGGGGAAGGAAAGACAGGAAAUCGGACGCGGAAAUGGAGAGAAGCUACCGAGAUUUUCAGAAUAAAGAACGUACUGCCUUCCGGUUGCUUUACUUUUAAAAAAGGUUACUAACUGUGCGUCCCCGUGAGAAGUUAUCACCUAGCUAGCGGUCUCCUUUGUUUUUCAGGUCAGUAUUGGCGAUUAUAAAACGGACAGAACAUAAAACACAAACCAUGUUGUAAUUUUCUCCUGCUUGUUGUUGUGUUUACUGAUGAAGUCACUCGUGUGACUUCGUGCUCGG
Non-coding RNA from Nothobranchius furzeri (turquoise killifish), 2284 nucleotides. The record is from RefSeq and is a predicted model, not a curated record. NCBI's taxonomy places the organism in Eukaryota, Metazoa, Chordata, Actinopteri, Cyprinodontiformes, Nothobranchiidae.